GGAGAAGUACUCAAGCUGGUCGAAGAGGCGCCCCUGCUAAGGGCGUAGGUCGUUUACGCGGCGCGAGAGUUCGAAUCUCUCCUUCUCCGCCA
This 92-nucleotide transfer RNA is filed under the name Clostridiaceae bacterium. RNAcentral describes it as "tRNA-Ser". It matches the Rfam family "tRNA". From Rfam's summary of the family: Transfer RNA (tRNA) molecules are approximately 80 nucleotides in length. Lineage: Bacteria; Bacillati; Bacillota; Clostridia; Eubacteriales; Clostridiaceae. The record is from RNAcentral.